Long non-coding RNA from Pongo pygmaeus (Bornean orangutan), 3496 nucleotides. RefSeq lists it as uncharacterized. NCBI's taxonomy places the organism in Eukaryota, Metazoa, Chordata, Mammalia, Primates, Hominidae. The transcript has 2 exons. The record is from RefSeq and is a predicted model, not a curated record.
UCGCCUCCCAGCUGGCAGGGGCCGGCCCCCAGCACACAUCACGAAGGACACACAGCAUCGGCCCCUAGCACACAUCACGAAGGACACACAGCAUCGGCCUCCCAGCUGGCAGGGGCCGGCCCCCAGCGCACAUCGCGAAGGACACACAGCAUCGGCCUCCCAGCUGGCAGGGGCCGGCCCCCAGCGCACAUCGCGAAGGACACUCAGCACCAGCCCCCAGCGCACAUCGCGAAGGACACAUAGCACGCCUCCCUGAGCCGGAGCCGGCAGGCAAGGGUCACGUCUCUACAAUCAGGGAGAAGAACAGAGAGGCUGCUGUGGGAACCCAGCAGGCAUCUGGCUCACUGGCACACCCGGGAGCUUGUGUGGAGCAGGGCCGGGGACAUGCAGGCCGUCCCCGCCCUCGCACUCACGUUCACGUCUGGAAGGCAGAGAAUGGACCAGCAGGGCAGCAGGCAGGUGGUGAAGGAUGCACCUAUGGUGAUGGCUUAGACAGGAACUGGAGCGGCAGGCCCUGCCGCUUUUGUGGCCAGGAUCUCCCCAGUCUCCGCCACUCCGGCCACCACAGCAAAACACCCCAGGCGGCAGCUUCAAGCAACUGACAUUUAGUUCACAGCUCUGGAGGCUGUGAGUCUAACAGGCCCCGGCAGACUGUGGUUCACAGCCAGCGCCUCCUGGCCACGUCCGAACGUGAUGAAGGGGUGAGGGGCUCUCUGAGGUCCCUUUUGUCUGGGCACUAAUCCAUCCACGAGGCCGACCCUCAUGGCCAGACCUCCCCAAAGGCCCCUCCUCCCAACAGCAUCACCUUGGGAGUGAAGGUUUCAACAGAAGAAUUUCUGGGGACAGACAUUCGGGCCAUGGUGACCUCUCUGGGGGUGCCCCUCAGUGUGAGAAGGACAGAGAGAAGAAGCUGGCUCCACAGUGCGGCCGAGCUUCUAUGAGAGAGACCCGGCCAAGCUUCUACAAGAGAGACCCGGCUGAGCUUCUACAAGAGACCCGUUGCCGUUCGCAAGUCCAAGGUGAUUCAACCUUUUAAAGUCAAGGUCAGGGUGAUUCUUCCAGGAUAAUGAGAACAUCAACACCCUUUGACUCAGGAUUAUAGUUUCUGGGCCAUAUUUUAAGGAAACAAUCCCUAAGGAGAAACAAUUGUUUUCUCCUUUCCAUGUUAGAGUGUUAGCUCUAAGAGUCAACAUUACUAGCCUAAGAGUCAAUAUUACUAUCCUGGGCACAGUGGCUCACACCUGUAAUCCCAGCACUUUGGGAGGCCGACGCGGGCGGAUCACCUGAGGUUGAGAGUUUGAGACCAGCCUGGACAACAUGGUGAAACCCCAUAUCCACUAAAAGUCAAAAAAAAAUUUAGCUGUGUGCAUUGGCGUGUGCCUGUAGUCCCAGCUACUUGGGAGGCUGAGCCAGGAGAAUCACUUGAAUCCAGGAGGCAGAGGUUGCAGUGAGCUGAGAUCGCACCACUGCACUCCAGCCUGGGCAACAGAGCAAGACCAUCUCAAAAAAACAGAAAAAGAAAAAAAAUGAGAGUAAACAUGAUUAGAAAUCACUCAAGUGUCCACAGUAAAAGAAAGGUUGGGCAGAUUACAGUACAUUCACUUAAAAUCCUAUGCCAUUGGGGAUAUAUUGUCAUAAUGCCGAAGUGAAAAUGAAAAAUUACAGUGGCCAGCAUUUUACGAUACUCACCGUGGGUCAGGAGUGUUCCGUGUUGAACUCAUUUAAUCCUCACAAAGGUCGAAGGAGUAGCUUUGAUCGGUCCCCACCUUUAUGAAUCAGGAAACGAAGUCUCGUGCCCACAGUCACACAGCCCGUGAGCAGCAGAUCCCAGGCCCCACCCUCCCUGGCCUCUUAUGGCCGCAGCCUUGGGGUCAACUCUCUCCCACGCAGCUGGAAGGCUCGAGAAUGGACAACUCUUCAGAAAACUGUUUCCUGGGCAGAGAAGGGCCGGCUGGAGGGAGAGGAGCCCAGGGGAGCUGACCAAGGCCACACGUCUGGGGUGUCGCUGCCUGGUUUACACCUGGUCCUAUGGGUGGGGCGGGUAUCAGAGGGUUUGAGCCUGACUGGUCAGGUGGGCCUGGCUGGGUGGUGUCCACUGCUGUGGGGGCCUCCACGUGGGAGGAGAAAUUCCCAGAGCCAAAGAGGAGUGUGAUCCCAGAGCACGGCUCCCAGGUGCCAACCCCGGGGAAAGCGGAGGAGGCAUGGGGAGAGGGUUGGGCAGCAGCACAGGGAGGGUUGUCAGAGCCAGGGCGGAGCGGUCUCGCCCUCCCAGAUCAGCCUCGCUGCCUGCCGGGGGUCAGGGCGCCAGGGCCUCUCCUGUGGCUGCGACUGCACCUGGAGCAGUCAGAUUCUCCCAGGCAGAGGAGCCGGGUCCAGGACCCUCUCAUUCUGCAGGGCUCUGCAGAGCGUGGGGGCAGGUGGGGGAGGGCAGCAGGACCCUCAGAAGUGGACGGACUCGGGCUAGACCCGUAAGACGUGGCUGCAUGCAGGCUGAAGCCAGCUGUGCUCUGGGAACAGCCGGGGAAAGGGGCUGUGUCCCCCAGGACCAUCGUUCCCUCUGUAAGGGGCUUUGACGGCCUGAGAAGAGGGAAGGGAGGAGUUAUCCGGCAGGACCAGGGUGGGCGCAGGUGGCAUCUGAGACCCUGUCUGUGUGCAUUGCUCUUCAUGCAGCGGCGUGGCUGGAAAACCAGAGCCCUCGCCAGGAGCGAGCGAGGCUUGACCGACAGCGCCUCUCCCUCCGCAGGGCACCAGCCCUGAGAUGGUGCAGGAGCAAAUCUACCCACCGGGCCCCAGACUGGCCACUGCAUAGGAGGGGCUGGGUCGGCCGAGACAUCUUAGGGGAAAGCUCGAGUCCCCGGAAGGUUCCAGUCCAGAGGCCCAGUGGAGGGACACACAGACCCACCCCCGAGAACACUGAAUUUGGGUCAGCGCCUGGGCCAUCUGCAGCUCCGAAGCCCACACCCUGGGGUCUCCAAGCCCCCCCAGCACAGGCUGGCGGCUCCAGGCAGAGGCUUUUCUUCCUGAGGGGUGUCUACCUGGCCCCCCGGCCUGCAGGGCAGAGCCACAGCGCAGGGCUGGCAGGCCUGUCAGGGAGGACAAAGGGACAGAGGCCGAGUCAAGACGUUGUGUCUCCCGAGCAGACGGAGCAGGUGGGGCCUCAAGCCUCCAGGGCCGCAGGAGUCGUCCAUCAAACUGAGUGUCCCUCAUUGAAAUUCUAAUGGCAACGCAGCCACAGGCAGGGCUCCUCCGGGGUGUGCCCUCCCUGCCUGCCUGGUGCUCCUGAGAGCCAGACCCAGGUCACAAGGUCACGAGGCCGCACGCAGGGGCCGUCCCUGGAGAGCUCGGGGUGGGCGCCCUGCAUGGCCUUCCUGAGGACGACAUGCCCCUCCCCCAGACGCUGGACAGACGCGCUUCUCAUGGGCAGCUGGGUUUUCCUCAGGAUUCUCCGUGACCACAUGACUCUGCCGUAUAAGAUAAAGCAUGUCCUUUGCCACCA